UACAGAGGUCCCAAGCGUUGUUCGGAUUCACUGGGCGUAAAGGGUGCGUAGGUGGUGAGGUAAGUUUGAUGUGAAAGCUCCGAGCUUAACUCGGAAAUUGCAUCGAAAACUCUCUCACUAGAGGGUUGUAGGGGGGACUGGAAUUCUCGGUGUAGCAGUGAAAUGCGUAGAUAUCGAGAGGAACACCAGUGGCGAAGGCGAGUCCCUGGACAACUCCUGACACUGAGGCACGAAGGCCAGGGGAGCAAACGGG
This 253-nucleotide ribosomal RNA is filed under the name uncultured bacterium. Its description in RNAcentral is "partial 16S ribosomal RNA". It matches the Rfam family "Bacterial small subunit ribosomal RNA", at positions 524 to 776 of the family's 1533-position model. The record is from RNAcentral.